Molecule: non-coding RNA, 429 nt
Filed under: Pan troglodytes (chimpanzee)
Lineage: Eukaryota; Metazoa; Chordata; Mammalia; Primates; Hominidae
Also listed under: 2 other names
Source: RNAcentral
GUUUGCUGUGUCCCCUCCUUCCCUUCCUGUCCCUACCUCUCCCCACCCCCUGGCUGCUCCUCAGACUGUCUCUGGAGGUUAUGACCAUCCUGUGUCGCUGUGAGAAUAUUGAGACGUCGGAGGGGGUUCCACUAUUCGUAACAGGGGUUGCACAGGAUUUCCCUAGAGAUUAUGACGUUGCAGCCCCGCUGCGAGGACGUAGAGACGGCCGAGGGGGUAGCUUUAACUGUGACGGGUGUCGCCCAGGUGAAGAUCAUGACGGAGAAGGAACUCCUGGCCGUGGCUUGUGAGCAGUUUCUGGGUAAGAAUGUGCAGGACAUCAAAAACGUCGUCCUGCAGACCCUGGAGGGACAUCUGCGCUCCAUCCUCGGGACCCUGACAGUGGAGCAGAUUUAUCAGGACCGGGACCAGUUUGCCAAGCUGGUGCGG